RNAcentral lists this ribosomal RNA (480 nucleotides) under Veillonella dispar. Its description in RNAcentral is "bacterial SSU rRNA". It matches the Rfam family "Bacterial small subunit ribosomal RNA", at positions 28 to 477 of the family's 1533-position model. The record is from RNAcentral. Lineage: Bacteria; Bacillati; Bacillota; Negativicutes; Veillonellales; Veillonellaceae.
GACGAACGCUGGCGGCGUGCUUAACACAUGCAAGUCGAACGAAGAGCGAUGGAAGCUUGCUUCUAUCAAUCUUAGUGGCGAACGGGUGAGUAACGCGUAAUCAACCUGCCCUUCAGAGGGGGACAACAGUUGGAAACGACUGCUAAUACCGCAUACGAUCUGACCUCGGCAUCGAGGAUAGAUGAAAGGUGGCCUCUAUUUAUAAGCUAUCACUGAAGGAGGGGAUUGCGUCUGAUUAGCUAGUUGGAGGGGUAACGGCCCACCAAGGCGAUGAUCAGUAGCCGGUCUGAGAGGAUGAACGGCCACAUUGGGACUGAGACACGGCCCAGACUCCUACGGGAGGCAGCAGUGGGGAAUCUUCCGCAAUGGACGAAAGUCUGACGGAGCAACGCCGCGUGAGUGAUGACGGCCUUCGGGUUGUAAAGCUCUGUUAAUCGGGACGAAAGGCCUUCUUGCGAAUAGUUAGAAGGAUCGACGGUA